This 379-nucleotide unclassified non-coding RNA is filed under the name uncultured delta proteobacterium. Its description in RNAcentral is "contains 16S-23S intergenic spacer region". Lineage: Bacteria; Deltaproteobacteria. The record is from RNAcentral.
UCUGGCUUAUAGCCAAGCGGUCCCACUAGAGUUCCCAACUUAAUGAUGGUAACUAGCGGCAAGGGUUGCGCUCGUUGCGGGACUUAACCCAACAUCUCACAACACGAGCUGACGACAGCCAUGCAGCACCUGUCACCGCGUGUCCGAAGACAAUUCACCACUUUCAUGGCUAUGCGCGGGAUGUCAAGUCUGGGUAAGGUUUUUCGCGUAGCAUCGAAUUGAACCACAUGCUCCACCGCUUGUGCGGGCCCCCGUCAAUUUCUUUGAGUUUUAAUCUUGCGACCGUACUUCCCAGGCGGGAUACUUAAUGCGUUAGCUGCGACACCGAAUCUAUUAGGUAAUCCGACGUCUAGUAUCCAUCGUUUAGGGCAUGGACUAC